This 429-nucleotide ribosomal RNA is filed under the name Actinomycetes bacterium. RNAcentral's name for it is "Actinobacteria bacterium partial 16S ribosomal RNA". It matches the Rfam family "Bacterial small subunit ribosomal RNA", at positions 355 to 776 of the family's 1533-position model. Lineage: Bacteria; Bacillati; Actinomycetota; Actinomycetes. The record is from RNAcentral.
UAGGGAAUCUUCCGCAAUGGGCGAAAGCCUGACGGAGCAACGCCGCGUGAGUGAUGAAGGUCUUCGGAUCGUAAAACUCUGUUAUUAGGGAAGAACAAAUGUGUAAGUAACUAUGCACGUCUUGACGGUACCUAAUCAGAAAGCCACGGCUAACUACGUGCCAGCAGCCGCGGUAAUACGUAGGUGGCAAGCGUUAUCCGGAAUUAUUGGGCGUAAAGCGCGCGUAGGCGGUUUUUUAAGUCUGAUGUGAAAGCCCACGGCUCAACCGUGGAGGGUCAUUGGAAACUGGAAAACUUGAGUGCAGAAGAGGAAAGUGGAAUUCCAUGUGUAGCGGUGAAAUGCGCAGAGAUAUGGGGGAACACCAGUGGCGAAGGCGACUUUCUGGUCUGUAACUGACGCUGGUGUGCGAAAGCGUGGGGAUCAAACAGG